RNAcentral lists this ribosomal RNA (221 nucleotides) under uncultured bacterium. RNAcentral describes it as "partial 16S ribosomal RNA". It matches the Rfam family "Bacterial small subunit ribosomal RNA", at positions 114 to 334 of the family's 1533-position model. The record is from RNAcentral.
CGCGUAAAGAACUUGCCUCACAGCUAGGGACAACAUUUAGAAAUGAAUGCUAAUACCUGAUAUUAUGAUUUUAAGGCAUCUUAGAAUUAUGGAAGCUAUAAGCACUGUGAGAGAGCUUUGCGUCCCAUUAGCUAGUUGGAGAGGUAACAGCUCACCAAGGCGAUGAUGGGUAGCCGGCCUGAGAGGGUGAACGGCCACAAGGGGACUGAGACACGGCCCUU